Molecule: transfer RNA, 74 nt
Filed under: Marmota monax (woodchuck)
Lineage: Eukaryota; Metazoa; Chordata; Mammalia; Rodentia; Sciuridae
Description: tRNA.Ala
Source: RNAcentral
GUGGGGGUAUAGCUCAGUUGUUAGAGUGCUUGUCUAGCAUGCAUAAGGCCCUGGGUUCAAUCCUCAGCACCACA